This 408-nucleotide ribosomal RNA is filed under the name bacterium enrichment culture clone ALO1_GLFRUDD03GNQPG. Its description in RNAcentral is "bacterial SSU rRNA". It matches the Rfam family "Bacterial small subunit ribosomal RNA", at positions 9 to 416 of the family's 1533-position model. The record is from RNAcentral.
GAGUUUGAUCUUGGCUCAGAUUGAACGCUGGCGGCAUGCCUUACACAUGCAAGUCGAACGGCAGCACGGGAGCUUGCUCCUGGUGGCGAGUGGCGAACGGGUGAGUAAUGCAUCGGAACGUAUCCUGGAGUGGGGGAUAACGUAGCGAAAGUUACGCUAAUACCGCAUAUUCUGUGAGCAGGAAAGCGGGGGACCUUCGGGCCUCGCGCUCUUGGAGCGGCCGAUGUCGGAUUAGCUAGUUGGUGAGGUAAAGGCUCACCAAGGCGACGAUCCAUAGCAGGUCUGAGAGGAUGAUCUGCCACACUGGAACUGAGACACGGUCCAGACUCCUACGGGAGGCAGCAGUGGGGAAUUUUGGACAAGUGGGGGCAACCCUGAUCCAGCCAUGCCGCGUGAGUGAAGAAGGCC